UAAAAGCAUUUUAAAAUCCCUUGUAAAUCUUUUAAAAUACUUUUAAACCCUUUAAAAAUCUUUAAAAAACCUUUGUAAAUCUUUUAAAACCCUUUAAAAUCUCUUGUAAAUAUUUUAAAACCUUUUUAAAUCCCUUGUAAAUCUUUUAAAACCCUUUUAAAAUCCAAUGUAAAUCUUUUAAAAUCCCUUGUAAAUCUAUUUCCCGCCAAAAUAAAUUUACAAGGAUUUUUAAAAGCAUUUUUUUGACUGAGAAAAUUUUUGUGACAAAAAAAAGAUUUGGUGAAU
This 285-nucleotide small RNA is filed under the name Arabidopsis thaliana (thale cress). RNAcentral describes it as "ATSL257500". Lineage: Eukaryota; Viridiplantae; Streptophyta; Magnoliopsida; Brassicales; Brassicaceae. The record is from RNAcentral.